GAUGAAGAACGUAGUGAAAUGCGAUAAGUAAUGUGAAUUGCAGAAUUCCGUGAAUCAUCGAAUCUUUGAACGCACAUUGCGCCCCCUGGCAUUCCGGGGGGCAUGCCUGUCCGAGCGUCAUUUCUGCCCUCCAGCCCGGCUGGGUGUUGGGCGCUGUCCCCCCGGGGACACGCCCCAAAGGCAGUGGCGGCGCCGCGUCGGGUCCUCGAGCGUAUGGGGCUUUGUCACCCGCUCGGGACGGACUCGUCGGCGCUGGUCUUCCUCCAGGCGACCCUUCGGGGCUCGUCUUCCUUCGGUUGACCUCGGAUCAGGUAGGGUUACCCGCUGAACUUAAGCAUAUCAAUAAGCGGAGGA
This 354-nucleotide unclassified non-coding RNA is filed under the name soil metagenome. Its description in RNAcentral is "partial contains 5.8S ribosomal RNA, internal transcribed spacer 2, and large subunit ribosomal RNA". The stretch from base 1 to 120 matches the Rfam family "5.8S ribosomal RNA", at positions 35 to 154 of the family's 154-position model. The record is from RNAcentral.